This 644-nucleotide ribosomal RNA is filed under the name uncultured bacterium. RNAcentral's name for it is "bacterial SSU rRNA". It matches the Rfam family "Bacterial small subunit ribosomal RNA", at positions 202 to 842 of the family's 1533-position model. The record is from RNAcentral.
UAAAGGAAGCGAUUCCGGCUACGGAUGGUCAUGCGUCGCAUUAGCUAGUGGGCGGGGUAACGGCCCACCAAGGCGACGAUGCGUAGGGGUUCUGAGAGGAAGGUCCCCCACACUGGUACUGAGACACGGACCAGACUCCUACGGGAGGCAGCAGUGAGGAAUAUUGGUCAAUGGCCGCAGGGCUGAACCAGCCAAGUCGCGUGAGGGAUGACGGUCCUAUGGAUUGUAAACCUCUUUUGUCAGGGAGCAAAGGGCGCCACGUGUGGCGCUUUGCGAGUACCUGAAGAAAAAGCAUCGGCUAACUCCGUGCCAGCAGCCGCGGUAAUACGGAGGAUGCGAGCGUUAUCCGGAUUUAUUGGGUUUAAAGGGUGCGCAGGCGGAAUGUCAAGUCAGCGGUAAAAUUUCGGGGCUCAACCCCGUCGUGCCGUUGAAACUGGCGUUCUUGAGUGAGCGAGAAGUAUGCGGAAUGCGUGGUGUAGCGGUGAAAUGCAUAGAUAUCACGCAGAACUCCGAUUGCGAAGGCAGCAUACCGGCGCUCAACUGACGCUCAUGCACGAAAGCGUGGGUAUCGAACAGGAUUAGAUACCCUGGUAGUCCACGCAGUAAACGAUGAAUACUAACUGUCCGGGCAGAAUGAUGCCUGG